Molecule: unclassified non-coding RNA, 383 nt
Filed under: Clostridium butyricum
Lineage: Bacteria; Bacillati; Bacillota; Clostridia; Eubacteriales; Clostridiaceae
Rfam family: Bacterial large subunit ribosomal RNA (bases 271-383)
Source: RNAcentral
GGAGAACCUGCGGCUGGAUCACCUCCUUUCUAUGGAGAAAUCUAGCAAACAUGGCGUUUGACUAGUACAAAGAUGCAAAGCAUCUAUGAAAAUUACAACUUGCUCAAAGGUUACUUAAUGAGUAUUGAUUCUGUUCAAUUUUGAAAGACUAGGUCUUUCAAUGUUCUUUGAAAAUUGCACAUAGAUUAAUGAAUAUAAUACAACAAAGCCAAGAAUAAUAUUCUUUGUGAAUGAUUAAUAUAACCAGUUUUGUAUAUCAAAACUUAAAAAGGUCAAGCUACAAAGGGCGCAUGGUGAAUGCCUUGGCAUCAGGAGCCGAUGAAGGACGUGAUAAGCUGCGAUAAGCUUCGGGUAGGCGCACAUAGCCAGAGAUCCGGAGAUUU